AUUGAACGCUGGCGGCAGGCCUAACACAUGCGAGUCGAGCGGAUGAAGGGAGCUUGCUCCUGGAUUCAGCGGCGGACGGGUGAGUAAUGCCUAGGAAUCUGCCUGGUAGUGGGGGAUAACGUCCGGAAACGGGCGCUAAUACCGCAUACGUCCUGAGGGAGAAAGUGGGGGAUCUUCGGACCUCACGCUAUCAGAUGAGCCUAGGUCGGAUUAGCUAGUUGGUGGGGUAAAGGCCUACCAAGGCGACGAUCCGUAACUGGUCUGAGAGGAUGAUCAGUCACACUGGAACUGAGACACGGUCCAGACUCCUACGGGAGGCAGCAGUGGGGAAUAUUGGACAAUGGGCGAAAGCCUGAUCCAGCCAUGCCGCGUGUGUGAAGAAGGUCUUCGGAUUGUAAAGCACUUUAAGUUGGGAGGAAGGGCAGUAAGUUAAUACCUUGCUGUUUUGACCUUACCAACAGAAUAAGCACCGGCUAACUUCGUG
RNAcentral lists this ribosomal RNA (484 nucleotides) under uncultured bacterium. Its description in RNAcentral is "partial 16S ribosomal RNA". It matches the Rfam family "Bacterial small subunit ribosomal RNA", at positions 30 to 507 of the family's 1533-position model. The record is from RNAcentral.